UUCGGGCCAAUUUGAGGCCAUUUCUUCUCACCCGGCUUUAGACACUUGCUAUUUAUUGCCGUUCCUGUUAUCCUUAUUAAGAAUUAUUUUUGUUCGGAUAUUAAGAUCGAAUACGUUUCAGCUUGAUAUUUUUAGAGCAAGAAUAGUAACACGUUUGUGCGUCAUGCACUAGGAGGUAACAAAAUGUUAGAAGGUACAGUUAAGUGGUUUAAUGCAGAAAAAGGUUUCGGUUUCAUCGAGCGCGAAGAUGGCGACGACGUAUUCGUACAUUUCUCCGCUAUCCAAGGCGACGGUUUCAAAACUCUAGAAGAAGGCCAAAAAGUUACAUUUGAAAUCGUUCAAGGUAACCGUGGCGAUCAAGCUGCUAACGUAGAAAAAGCAUAAGUUUCACCCAUAUAAAAAGACUCCUGCAAGCAGGAGUCUUUUUU
This 428-nucleotide small RNA is filed under the name Bacillus sp. SJS. RNAcentral describes it as "cspA thermoregulator". It matches the Rfam family "cspA thermoregulator". Lineage: Bacteria; Bacillati; Bacillota; Bacilli; Caryophanales; Bacillaceae. The record is from Rfam by way of RNAcentral.